This 115-nucleotide microRNA precursor is filed under the name Hordeum vulgare. RNAcentral's name for it is "microRNA MIR1122". It matches the Rfam family "MIR1120/MIR1122 microRNA precursor family". Lineage: Eukaryota; Viridiplantae; Streptophyta; Magnoliopsida; Poales; Poaceae. The record is from RNAcentral.
UCAAUACUCCCUCCGAUCCAUAUAACUUGUCUCUCAAACGGAUGUAUCUAGGCGUAUUUCAGUGCUAGAUACAUCCGUUUGAGCGACAAGUAAUAUUGAUCGGAGGGAGUAAUAU